ACAGCUGUAUAUCUAUGUAUGUAUUUGUCAGUGUAUGUAUCUGUGUGUGUCAGUGUGUGUAUAUGUAUCUGUGUGUAUGUGUCAGUGUGUAUGAGUCAGUGUAUAUCUGUGUGUACGAGUCAGUGUGUGUGUCAGUGUGUAUCUGUGUGUGUGUAUGAGUCUGUUUGUAUCUAUGUGUGUGUGUUUCAACUUGCAUGUGUGGGGCAGUGUAUGUGCUUACAUCCCAACAAUCAAGCGCCAACUCUAAAUACAAACACUAAACACAAGUACACCUCUGCUUUCAAAUAUUAAGUAAAUACUAACAUACAACUCUCAACACUAGACACAAAAUAAAUUCAUUCAAACACAAAACAUGCUUAAAUUUGUUGCCAGUAUUUUUUUCCGAUUGCAUUAAGAAGUGUUUAUUGAGAAAAAAUGUAAUGCUCUUUAUUGACAAAUACUAUAGCCUUUACAUAUGCUGAAUUAGCCUUACAACCAGAGGGACAGGGUGACUGGGGGCUGGGGGUGGUACAUGAGGGCGACAGAAACAUUUUUUCUUCCCCGGGCAACCGUAACUCUGGUUACACCACUGGUAGACCUUGUCUAGUCUGAGGAUGGGAACUAGUUUGCUCCGAUUAAAUAGUCUACGUCCCAUCCACCUAAAGCCCCCUAGUGGACAGUCCUGCAUAGCGCUAAGAACUAGACUGCUCUCAGUGAUAGAGCUAGUUCCCAUCCAGUUAAAUCUCCUUUCUAACUAUCAGACUGAAUAAAUGCAGAGUACAACAAAUCCUUACAGUUUUAUUAUUUCAAAUGUAAUAUGGCCACUGAUCUCUGCGGCUUUGGACCCCAAUAUUACCUCUGCAACGUGUGUAACGAGUUGUAAUACGGUUCUAUACUGAUAUAAUGUUAUUGGCUAUGAUCGUGUGUAACGAGUUGUAAUACGGUUCUAUACUGAUAUAAUGUUAUUGGCUAUGAUCGUGUGUAACGAGCUGUAAUACGGUUCUAUACUGAUAUAAUGUUAUUGGCUAUGAUCGUGUGUAACGUGUUGUAAUACGGUUCUAUACUGAUAUAAUGUUAUUGGCUAUGAUCGUGUGUAACGUGUUGUAAUACGGUUCUAUACUGAUAUAAUGUUAUUGGCUAUGAUCGUGUGUAACGAGUUGUAAUACGGUUCUAUACUGAUAUGAUGUUAUUGGCUAUGAUCGUGUGUAACGAGUUGUAAUACGGUUCUAUACUGAUAUAAUGUUAUUGGCUAUGAUCGUGUGUAACCAGUUGUAAUACGGUUCUAUACUGAUAUAAUGUUAUUGGCUAUGAUCGUGUGUAACGAGUUGUAAUACGGUUCUAUACUGAUAUAAUGUUAUUGGCUAUGAUCGUGUGUAACGAG
Molecule: non-coding RNA, 1360 nt
Organism: Pelobates cultripes (western spadefoot toad)
Lineage: Eukaryota; Metazoa; Chordata; Amphibia; Anura; Pelobatidae
Source: the annotation of a GenBank genome assembly